GGGCCCGCACAAGCGGCGGAGCAUGCGGAUUAAUUCGAUGCAACGCGAAGAACCUUACCUGGGUUUGACAUAUAGGGAAAUCUCCCAGAGAUGGGGGGUCCGUAAGGGUCCUAUACAGGUGGUGCAUGGCUGUCGUCAGCUCGUGUCGUGAGAUGUUGGGUUAAGUCCCGCAACGAGCGCAACCCUCGUCCUAUGUUGCCAGCACGUUAUGGUGGGGACUCAUAGGAGACUGCCGGGGUCAACUCGGAGGAAGGUGGGGAUGACGUCAAGUCAUCAUGCCCCUUAUGUCCAGGGCUUCACGCAUGCUACAAUGGCCGGUACAAAGGGCUGCGAAGCUGUAAGGUGGAGCGAAUCCCAAAAAGCCGGUCUCAGUUCGGAUUGGGGUCUGCAACUCGACCCCAUGAAGUCGGAGUCGCUAGUAAUCGCAGAUCAGCAACGCUGCGGUGAAUACGUUCCCGGGCCUU
This 464-nucleotide ribosomal RNA is filed under the name uncultured bacterium. RNAcentral's name for it is "bacterial SSU rRNA". It matches the Rfam family "Bacterial small subunit ribosomal RNA", at positions 917 to 1382 of the family's 1533-position model. The record is from RNAcentral.